GCUUAACGAUGUCGAUUUGGAGGUUGUGCCCUUGAGGCGUGGCUUCCGAAGCUAACGCGUUAAAUCGACCGCCUGGGGAGUACGGCCGCAAGGUUAAAACUCAAAUGAAUUGACGGGGGCCCGCACAAGCGGUGGAGCAUGUGGUUUAAUUCGAUGCAACGCGAAGAACCUUACCUACUCUUGACAUCCAGCGAAUCCUGUAGAGAUACGGGAGUGCCUUCGGGAACGCUGAGACAGGUGCUGCAUGGCUGUCGUCAGCUCGUGUUGUGAAAUGUUGGGUUAAGUCCCGCAACGAGCGCAACCCUUAUCCUUUGUUGCCAGCGGUUCGGCCGGGAACUCAAAGGAGACUGCCAGUGAUAAACUGGAGGAAGGUGGGGAUGACGUCAAGUCAUCAUGGCCCUUACGAGUAGGGCUACACACGUGCUACAAUGGCGUAUACAAAGAGAAGCGAACUCGCGAGAGCAAGCGGACCUCAUAAAGUACGUCGUAGUCCGGAUUGGAGUCUGCAACUCGACUCCAUGAAGUCGGAAUCGCUAGUAAUCGUGGAUCAGAAUGCCACGGUGAAUACGUUCCCGGGCCUUGUACACACCGCCCGUCACACCAUGGGAGUGGGUUGCAAAAGAAGUAGGUAGCUUAACCU
RNAcentral lists this ribosomal RNA (640 nucleotides) under Edwardsiella tarda. RNAcentral describes it as "bacterial SSU rRNA". It matches the Rfam family "Bacterial small subunit ribosomal RNA", at positions 801 to 1441 of the family's 1533-position model. Lineage: Bacteria; Pseudomonadati; Pseudomonadota; Gammaproteobacteria; Enterobacterales; Hafniaceae. The record is from RNAcentral.